GGUGUUUAAACUCCUCUUCGCAAGGAAUCAAAAUUCUAGUUGAUAAAGGAGCAACUGGAGAAGAAGAAGAAGGGUGACCGGAAAAAGAACCAGACGCUAAAGAAGGAGGCUGGCCAUCGUCGUCACUGCACCAAAGCCAUUACCGACGCCAAAAUAGGUAUUUUUUCUCCAUCUGGCUCGGGAUUCAAUCCUGAAUCUCAUUAUGCCCAUAUCAGAGCCAAAUGGCUUAUG
Molecule: long non-coding RNA, 231 nt
Filed under: Carica papaya (papaya)
Lineage: Eukaryota; Viridiplantae; Streptophyta; Magnoliopsida; Brassicales; Caricaceae
Description: long non-coding RNA (CPAP_LNC012219)
Source: RNAcentral